This 77-nucleotide transfer RNA is filed under the name Spirochaetota bacterium. RNAcentral's name for it is "Spirochaetes bacterium tRNA-Trp". It matches the Rfam family "tRNA". Rfam says of the family: Transfer RNA (tRNA) molecules are approximately 80 nucleotides in length. Their secondary structure includes four short double-helical elements and three loops (D, anti-codon, and T loops). The record is from RNAcentral. Lineage: Bacteria; Pseudomonadati; Spirochaetota.
GAGCCAGUAGCUCCAAUUGGUAGAGCCAUGGACUCCAACUCCGUGUGUUGUGAGGGUUCGAAUCCUUCCUGGCUCGC